This 197-nucleotide unclassified non-coding RNA is filed under the name uncultured Agaricomycetes. RNAcentral's name for it is "sequence contains ITS2". The record is from RNAcentral. Lineage: Eukaryota; Fungi; Basidiomycota; Agaricomycetes.
UAACCCCUCGCCCCGACCGGUGUCACAGCCGGGCGGGUUGCGGAUGUGGACGCUGCCGUCGUCGGCUCGUCUCGAAAUGCAUUAGCUGGAGCGGCCUCCCGCGUCGGCCUCGGUGUGAUAUUUCUUUGCGCCGUCACACGACACGUCUGUGCUGCUUUGCUCCGAACCCCGCGUUCGCCACGCGGAACGUAAUCAAA